UGCCCAACUCUCAUCAGUCUGGUCGAAGCAGUGCCGAGGGCAUUCAGUUCCAGGUGCUUGCCGGACCCUUGGAUUUCACGAAUCCUCGGAUUCCAAUUCAGCUGCUGCUGAAUUGGACUGCGAGGAUUCCCUGUUGUAUCCCUUCGAUUGUCCCUAAAGUUGUGAAGGAGAUGAACUAGUUAUCCCAUUUUCAACCACAUCGGGUUUUAUGCCAAGAUGGUAAGAUUCCCAAACCAGUCAAGGGCCUGUAAUUGGCAGAGUCUUCAAGAGACUUCUUCUGCCUGAGGCGUAGAUUUUUCCCUGUCCUGAAAUUUUGAAAAUCUGAGCUGCAAAGUCCUGUCUAACAUCGAGAAAAUGGAGUCUUUAAGUUUGGCUCUUCUUCUCUAGCAUCUGUUUAAUGCCUUAUGCCAAAAUGGCGAAAUAAGAAGUUCAUUCCAAUGGAAGCAAAUCAAGGGGCUUCCAUGAGACGUCUACAAUCUUCAAGUAGAGUAUGGCACUGCCCUUAAAUCUUAGAACCCCUUGGAACUAGAAGUCUGAGCUUUGGACGCCUGGAUCUUCUUCUCUAGCAUCUACCUGUGUUUGGCUAAAAAUAUAAAAUAAAUAU
Molecule: small RNA, 604 nt
Filed under: Drosophila ananassae
Lineage: Eukaryota; Metazoa; Arthropoda; Insecta; Diptera; Drosophilidae
Description: GF27437
Source: RNAcentral